UCGAGGGGCAUCAGGAAGAAGCUUGCUUUCUUUGCUGGCGACCGGCGCACGGGUGAGUAACACGUAUCCAACCUGCCCUUUACUCGGGGAUAGCCUUUCGAAAGAAAGAUUAAUACCCGAUGGCAUAAUGAUUCCGCAUGGUUUCAUUAUUAAAGGAUUCCGGUAAAGGAUGGGGAUGCGUUCCAUUAGGUUGUUGGUGAGGUAACGGCUCACCAAGCCUUCGAUGGAUAGGGGUUCUGAGAGGAAGGUCCCCCACAUUGGAACUGAGACACGGUCCAAACUCCUACGGGAGGCAGCAGUGAGGAAUAUUGGUCAAUGGGCGCUAGCCUGAACCAGCCAAGUAGCGUGAAGGAUGAAGGCUCUAUGGGUCGUAAACUUCUUUUAUAUAAGAAUAAAGUGCAGUAUGUAUACUGUUUUGUAUGUAUUAUAUGAAUAAGGAUCGGCUAACUCCGUGCCAGCAGCCGCGGUAAUACGGAGGAUCCGAGCGUUAUCCGGAUUUAUUGGGUUUAAAGGGAGCGUAGGUGGACUGGUAAGUCAGUUGUGAAAGUUUGCGGCUCAACCGUAAAAUUGCAGUUGAUACUGUCAGUCUUGAGUACAGUAGAGGUGGGCGGAAUUCGUGGUGUAGCGGUGAAAUGCUUAGAUAUCACGAAGAACUCCGAUUGCGAAGGCAGCUCACUGGACUGCAACUG
Molecule: ribosomal RNA, 689 nt
Filed under: uncultured bacterium
Lineage: Bacteria
Description: bacterial SSU rRNA
Rfam family: Bacterial small subunit ribosomal RNA
Source: RNAcentral